ACGCGCGGAACCUUACCAGGUCUUGACAUCCUUCGCUACUUCUAGAGAUAGAAGGUUCCCCUUCGGGGGACGAAGUGACAGGUGGUGCAUGGUUGUCGUCAGCUCGUGUCGUGAGAUGUUGGGUUAAGUCCCGCAACGAGCGCAACCCUUGAUCUUAGUUGCCAGCAUUAAGUUGGGCACUCUAAGGUGACUGCCGGUGACAAACCGGAGGAAGGUGGGGAUGACGUCAAAUCAUCAUGCCCCUUAUGACCUGGGCUACACACGUGCUACAAUGGACGGUACAAACGGUUGCCAACCCGCGAGGGGGAGCUAAUCCGAUAAAACCGUUCUCAGUUCGGAUUGUAGGCUGCAACUCGCCUACAUGAAGCCGGAAUCGCUAGUAAUCGCGGAUCAGCAUGCCGCGGUGAAUACGUUCCCGGGCCUUGCACACACCGCCCGU
RNAcentral lists this ribosomal RNA (439 nucleotides) under uncultured bacterium. RNAcentral describes it as "bacterial SSU rRNA". It matches the Rfam family "Bacterial small subunit ribosomal RNA", at positions 959 to 1397 of the family's 1533-position model. The record is from RNAcentral.